Molecule: ribosomal RNA, 259 nt
Filed under: SAR86 cluster bacterium
Lineage: Bacteria; Pseudomonadati; Pseudomonadota; Gammaproteobacteria
Description: partial 23S ribosomal RNA
Rfam family: Bacterial large subunit ribosomal RNA
Source: RNAcentral
GCUGAUUCUAGUACGAGAGGACCGAAUUGGACGAACCUCUGGUGUUCCGGUUGUCACGCCAGUGGCAUUGCCGGGUAGCUAUGUUCGGAAGGGAUAACCGCUGAAAGCAUCUAAGCGGGAAGCCUCUCCCAAGAUUAGAUCUCCCAUAGACUUCGGUCUACUAAAGAGUCGUCAUAGACUAUGACGUUGAUAGGCAAGAUGUGUAAGCGUUGUGAGGCGUUGAGCUAACUUGUACUAAUAACUCGUGAGGCUUGAUCAU